AUACCUUUCUCGGCCUUUUGGCUAAGAUCAAGUGUAGUAUCUGUUCUUAUCAGUUUAAUAUCUGAUAUGUGGGCCAUUGGUCCACACGAUAUUAACUCAAUUUUGUAAGGGGAAGAGUCCAUUAAGGUAGCUUGCUACCUGGGCUCUUGGGCGUCGCCAUGCGUUGCACUACUGCAUGGUCCUGGCGCACCCCAC
This 195-nucleotide small nuclear RNA is filed under the name Solanum tuberosum (potato). Its description in RNAcentral is "U2snRNA". It matches the Rfam family "U2 spliceosomal RNA". Rfam says of the family: U2 is a small nuclear RNA (snRNA) component of the spliceosome (involved in pre-mRNA splicing). Complementary binding between U2 snRNA (in an area lying towards the 5' end but 3' to hairpin I) and the branchpoint sequence (BPS) of the intron results the bulging out of an unpaired adenosine, on the BPS, which initiates a nucleophilic attack at the intronic 5' splice site, thus starting the first of two transesterification reactions that mediate splicing. The record is from RNAcentral. Lineage: Eukaryota; Viridiplantae; Streptophyta; Magnoliopsida; Solanales; Solanaceae.